RNAcentral lists this ribosomal RNA (465 nucleotides) under uncultured bacterium. Its description in RNAcentral is "partial 16S ribosomal RNA". It matches the Rfam family "Bacterial small subunit ribosomal RNA", at positions 338 to 795 of the family's 1533-position model. The record is from RNAcentral.
CCUACGGGCGGCAGCAGUAGGGAAUCUUCCACAAUGGGCGAAAGCCUGAUGCAGCAACGCCGCGUGGGUGAAGAAGGUCUUCGGAUCGUAAAACCCUGUUGUUAGAGAAGAAAGUGCGUGAGAGUAACUGUUCACGUUUCGACGGUAUCUUACCAGAAAGCCACGGCUAACUACGUGCCAGCAGCCGCGGUAAUACGUAGGUGGCAAGCGUUAUCCGGAUUUAUUGGGCGUAAAGGGAACGCAAGCGGUCUGUUAAGUCUGAUGUGAAAGCCUUCGGCUUAACCGGAGUAGUGCAUUGGAAACUGGGAGACUAGAGUGCAGAAGAGGAGAGUGGAACUCCAGGUGUAGCGGUGAAAUGCGUAGAGAUAUGGAAGAACACCAGUGGCGAAAGCGGCUCUCUGGUCUGUAACUGACGCUGAGGUUCGAAAGCGUGGGUAGCAAACAGGAUUAGAUACCCUUGUAGUC